UACGUAGGGAGCAAGCGUUGUUCGGAAUCACUGGGCGUAAAGGGCGCGUAGGCGGCCCCUCUUAGUCGCGUGUGAAAGCCCCGGGCUCAACCUGGGAACGGCGCGCGAAACGGGAGGGCUGGAGUUCGGGAGAGGAGAGUGGAAUUCCCAGUGUAGAGGUGAAAUUCGUAGGUAUUGGGAAGAACACCGGUGGCGAAGGCGGCUCUCUGGACCGAGACUGACGCUGAGGCGCGAAAAGCGUGGGGAGCAAACAGG
RNAcentral lists this ribosomal RNA (255 nucleotides) under uncultured bacterium. Its description in RNAcentral is "partial 16S ribosomal RNA". It matches the Rfam family "Bacterial small subunit ribosomal RNA", at positions 524 to 776 of the family's 1533-position model. The record is from RNAcentral.